This 253-nucleotide ribosomal RNA is filed under the name uncultured bacterium. RNAcentral's name for it is "partial 16S ribosomal RNA". It matches the Rfam family "Bacterial small subunit ribosomal RNA", at positions 524 to 776 of the family's 1533-position model. The record is from RNAcentral.
UACGUAGGGUGCAAGCGUUGUCCGGAAUUAUUGGGCGUAAAGAGCUCGUAGGCGGUUUGUUGCGUCGGCUGUGAAAUCCCGAGGCUCAACCUCGGGUCUGCAGUCGCUACGAGCAAACUAGAGUGUUGCAGGGGAGACUGGAAUUCCUGGUGUAGCGGUGAAAUGCGCAGAUAUCAGGAGGAACACCGGUGGCGAAGGCGGGUCUCUGGGCAACAACUGACGCUGAGGAGCGAAAGCGUGGGGAGCGAACAGG